Long non-coding RNA from Lingula anatina, 1331 nucleotides. NCBI's taxonomy places the organism in Eukaryota, Metazoa, Brachiopoda, Lingulata, Lingulida, Lingulidae. The record is from RefSeq and is a predicted model, not a curated record.
AAUUUACCUGUGAAAUCGACACGAAAGCAGACGUGUCUCCAAAUAUGGCUGACGUGAGAUUUGGAGAGGUCAAACGAGAUUUUAAAUAACCAAUCGAAAGCGGAAUUCCCUUCCAUGUGACCUAACAUGGAGGACAAAGAACCGUGGCGGGAGUGUCCCAUGCUGGAAAUAAUGUUUGAGUUUAAGAAAACAGAUCAUCAGAAUACCAAUUUAUUCAAGGGCAUUAUUUCUGAACACAUAUUCAAGACACAUGCAAAGUAAUGAGGCGAGACGUUGCGACGAUUGCAAGAUUUCAGUGAUGGAAUGCGGGGACCUGUUGCGGUUUCUUUGUUGUUUUCAACUUACAAUGUGUCAUAACAAGCAAAGCAAAUUUGCAAUGUGGAAUCGAAAUAUGCACGAGCUCCUGGAUGUACAUGACAUUUGUGAUUUUGAGCUCAAGCGAUUUACUUUAACACGUCGAUUUAGUUACAGUAACAUUUUAUGGGUAAUAGAGGUCGUAAGAUCACCGUAUGGAGCGACUUCCGGGUGUAGGCGGAGGUGGAGGAGGGGAUUGCGAAAGGCUACAUCGCGGCAUGCGAAUAAACGACGUUGCCUAAAGCAAGCUGAUGCUGAUGGCAAUCAAGCAGUCACUUUGGAUUACAACAUUAAGACAGUGCAUGUCACUGGAUAGCAGCAGGAUGACUUCAGCAGGAAAGGAUGACACAGUUAUAGAAAUCGUCAGAGAUAGCCUAAAACGAGGCUGUCAGCACUGCAUGACAUCAUGUGAAACUGGAAAACAUGCCAGAAUCUGCAUGAGGUGGGGCUAACCUUUUAGCCAUAAGGAUGAUCAACUUUAUGCAUCAGGAAUGCCAUUUUAAAAAGCAGUAAAAAGUAACACACAAAUUGUGGUGAAUGUGAGACAUUAUUGUGCAAAAAACUGUAGAACUAAGGAGAAACGAACAAAAAAAUAUCUCAAAAAAAUUGUCAGCUUUUAUCAUUUAUAAUUCACUGCUGCACUAAGCUUUCUUGCCUGUCCUUAUUUCUGACCCCACUCUCUUCCAAAUCCAAGAAAAUUUCACUUCAAGUUUUGAGAAGUUAUGAAAUUUUGGGCUGUCUAGGAUCCCCAUAUUGGACAGUAGUCCAAUCAUCAUGAUAGACAGUCUCGUUGCAGACGAGUUCUAAAAAGAUUAAUGUGCAUUUGAAUUAUGUGAAGUGUUGAUACCUCCAAUAGCAUGCCAGAUAAUAUGCUGCUGUAUUGCUAUUAUUUGUGGAACAUAAGCAAAAGCAAGUUUGUGUAGAGUCACUUGUUUAAAAGAUAUUGAAAUUUGUAUGAUCUUAAUCAAAUAAAGUGU